RNAcentral lists this long non-coding RNA (387 nucleotides) under Amborella trichopoda. RNAcentral's name for it is "long non-coding RNA (ATRI_LNC005158)". The record is from RNAcentral. Lineage: Eukaryota; Viridiplantae; Streptophyta; Magnoliopsida; Amborellales; Amborellaceae.
GUCGAGAUACUCCCUUUGCCUAUCUUUUUGCGACCCCCUUGACUGCCUUUUUGAGACAUUGAGGCAAGGGCAUACCUCUCACUUCCUUGGUUUUGGAGCAUAGCACUUCCAAUACCAAUACAGCUCUCUUCACUCUGUAUGUAGGAGUAUACUUGAUUCAUUGAGGGAAGAGGAUCCUUACCAAGGCACUCAAUAUUACUAUCCUUGCCUGCUCAUACUCUUGAUUUCAUCCUACUAGGAACUAAAAAAAUGUGAGUUCUCUCAACCAAAUUCAACUAGUUUACUCCAUCUGUAGGACACAUCGGCUUGUAGUCCUGAUAGUGAUCAAACUCCUCCCACAUGUGACGUAAGGAGGCAAAGUAAAUAGCAAGGGACUCAUCCCCUUUC